ACGAACGCUGGCGGCGUGCUUAACACCUGCAAGUCGAACGGAAAGGCCUGCUUUCCCUUGUGGAUUGCGGGUACUCGAGUGGCGAACGGGUGAGUAACACGUGAGUGAUCUGCCCCCAACUUGGGUAUAAGCCUGGGAAACUGGGUCUAAUUCCCGAUAGGACUGCAGGGUGGUGCCUGUGGUGGAAAACGAUUUUCUAGUGGUUGGGGAUGAGCUCGCGGCCUAUCAGCUUGUUGGUGGGGUAAUGGCCUACCAAGGCGGCGACGGGUAGCCGGCCUGAGAGGGUGGACGGCCACAUUGGGACUGAGAUACGGCCCAGACUCCUACGGGAGGCAGCAGUGGGGAAUAUUGCACAAUGGGCGGAAGCCUGAUGCAGCGACGCCGCGUGGGGGAUGACGGCCUUCGGGUUGUAAACUCCUUUCGACCGCGAGGAAGCCACCUGGUUGGAAGGGUGGUGACGGUAGUGGUAGAAGAAGCACCGGCUAACUACGUG
RNAcentral lists this ribosomal RNA (493 nucleotides) under uncultured bacterium. Its description in RNAcentral is "partial 16S ribosomal RNA". It matches the Rfam family "Bacterial small subunit ribosomal RNA", at positions 29 to 507 of the family's 1533-position model. The record is from RNAcentral.